Alosa sapidissima (American shad) is the source of this 634-nucleotide long non-coding RNA. RefSeq lists it as uncharacterized. The transcript is spliced from 3 exons. NCBI's taxonomy places the organism in Eukaryota, Metazoa, Chordata, Actinopteri, Clupeiformes, Clupeidae. The record is from RefSeq and is a predicted model, not a curated record.
AGACGUUUUAAUUGGCAGAGAGGCUGCUAAAGCACCACAUCAGACAGCGUUUGGUAAGCAAAGACAGAGAAAACGCUACGCAACUGACACGCACACGCGACGUUCACGCCACGUUUCCGGUGUGAAAGGGGCCUAAUUUCAUAGACAUAAUGAAGUGGCCUACUUUAUUCUUCUAUGGUUGACACAUGCUUAAAUGUGAAGAAAUGAGAUGGACAGGGACUGAAUAAAAUCAAGAGAUAUAGGUAAUUGCAUAGCCAGUUUUACUGCUUCUAUUUUUUUCUUCAGCCGUGUGUUGUUGAGUUGUCUCCUCGUAUAUCAGAGGGGGAGGGAUUGUGAAGGCAGGGGAAGGAAGACCGAAGUUGCAGCAUCCAACAUCAUUAUUGGUGUUGUUUCGGAAAGGCUAGAACUCAACCCACAGACACGCACGAAGCCCGCUCAGAUGUAAUUGUUCCUGUGGGACUCGGGAAUGCAUAGGGAUCCAAUCUAAUUGGACGGUUUCUCUCAAAAACACAAAGGUCAUAAAAAUGCCUGAUGCCACAAACACAUGGAUGGAGCUACUAGGGAGAGAUACCUUCACCACGAUGGCACACCUCUGCCUCCUGGAUGACAAAGGGAGGAGUGGGGGAAGUAGGAG